Molecule: unclassified non-coding RNA, 423 nt
Filed under: Hevea brasiliensis (rubber tree)
Lineage: Eukaryota; Viridiplantae; Streptophyta; Magnoliopsida; Malpighiales; Euphorbiaceae
Source: RNAcentral
AGACAAAAGCUUUGCAGCCUAUUAAUCAACUAAUUUCUGAAACACAUAUAUAUAUAUAUUCUAACAAUCCGAAUCAGUAUAAUCCACCAUACCUUAACCCCAAAUAGCAUUGAAAUUAAGAUUUAAGCCUAUUCCCUACGUACUCCGUGCCAAGGAAAGCAUAGCAUCCUAUGCCUGUACCAGUCCCACGAACCAAAGCGAACUACGAAAUAGGUAACAUUGGUCCAAAUCUUCAUGUUAGGCCUACGUCCUGUAGCAAACAUGAUAUGUGAGAAGCCUUCAACAGUUCCUUUGUUGGUCUACAGUGACAAGGAACCAUCUGCUGCUUUGAUAAUAGCCUGGGGUGGCUCCUUGGUGCGGAACUUGAUUCCUCUUAGAGACAUUUGUUCUGCAAAAUCACUGAUCUCUUCAUCAAAGCCCCUU